Long non-coding RNA from Chinchilla lanigera (long-tailed chinchilla), 1065 nucleotides. RefSeq lists it as uncharacterized. NCBI's taxonomy places the organism in Eukaryota, Metazoa, Chordata, Mammalia, Rodentia, Chinchillidae. The record is from RefSeq and is a predicted model, not a curated record. The transcript is spliced from 2 exons.
CACUAUAUUGUCUUCCUCUGGUCCUCUCUUGGGACAUGUGCCUGGGAAGGCUGCAAGGGCCGGUCCCCAGCCUCCCCCAGCUGCCGUGCUGCUAUUCAAAGGGACCCUGUUGGGGUGGAGGAGCAGGUGCUCUGUGGGCUGCAGCCCCUUGGUUUGACAGGGUUAUGUUCUUGGCUCCUUCAGGCCUGUGCCAUUUGAGCUGGGAUUGUGGUCCUUGGAGACCUGGAAGGACCUGGAGAGCUGAUAUGGAAGGCUAUAGCUACUGACUACAGUUCCUGCUGUGGAGAAACCAAUGCCAAGUCAGCCUGGAGGAGAGGAGGCUAGCUUCCUGGAAGAUGGCCCUACCUGCACUUCCUGUUCUCCAUGACUGCUUUCUGCUUAAAAAGCAAUGACAUGGACUGAAGGCCUCCACCAUUUCCUUCCAUUGGCCUAUGCACCCUGGAGGGAAACUGACUUCGUGCUCCGGACAGAAGCCCUGAGGCCCUGGCGACACCCAUGGUAGCAGUCCCGCCCCAGCCCCUCACCCUUGUGGCUCUGGCCAUACUGUGUCUUCCACGGAAACCUCAUACCAGGAGUGGCCCAUGCUCACGCCUUCUCACAGCUCCCCAACCAUGAACCUUUGUGCAUCCUGACACGGUCACUCACUGCUCCUGCAGCCUCCACAGCCACAGGGGACUUUGGCUCCUAACUCAGUCCACCCGCCCUUCCUCCAUCCCAGACACCAUCCUGAGUGAUGUCAACACACAGGCGGCUGGUCCACCCCACACGACCUCUCCACCUGACUCCUCAGCUCUGUCACUUCUUAUCUUCCUUCUGAACAACCUCAACCCAAGCUCUGCCACCAACACAUCACUCUCUGUGCAGCCACCUUCCCCGUCUCCAUGUGCUCAGGUCCCCUUUUCUUGACAAUGGUUACUCCGUUUUAAGGAGACCUCCACAGUCUUGUUCUGUUUUCUCUCAGAUAGAUGUCCCUCCAUAUAUUUGUUCCUGGACCUUGGGAGGAUUCCAGAACCUUGGGUUUUCAAAUAUUCUAUAUAAAAUGGAAUAGUAUUUGCAUAGAUCCUA